Molecule: unclassified non-coding RNA, 117 nt
Organism: Macaca fascicularis (crab-eating macaque)
Lineage: Eukaryota; Metazoa; Chordata; Mammalia; Primates; Cercopithecidae
Rfam family: Metazoan signal recognition particle RNA
About the family: The signal recognition particle (SRP) is a universally conserved ribonucleoprotein. It is involved in the co-translational targeting of proteins to membranes.
Source: Ensembl
GCCAGGUGUGAUGGUUCACGCCUGUAAUCCCAGCACCUUGGGAGGCUGAGGCGGGUGAAUCACCUGAGGUCAGGAGUUCGAGACCAGCCUGGCCAAUAUGGUGAAACCCCGUCUCUA